This 499-nucleotide small RNA is filed under the name Pongo abelii (Sumatran orangutan). RNAcentral's name for it is "processed transcript". The record is from RNAcentral. Lineage: Eukaryota; Metazoa; Chordata; Mammalia; Primates; Hominidae.
CAUUUGCAGAGUUUUAUAUCCAUUAAGUGCCUUUGAAAGUUUCCAGUUGUGUGGGCUGCUGUCUCACCUCCCACCAGUUUCUCCUUUCUCCAUAUGGUGCUAAAACUUCAAAGCUGAGGAGGGCUGCAGGACCCUUAGCAGAUUCAGUGUGUCACCCUUGUUCUGCGUUCAUGCCAAGGCUUCCUAAAUGAAAGACACCGGUUACCUGCUAUGGGAAGACUCUUCAUGCUGAUCGUAUCUUGCAUUGAAAUAACCAUGUGGAAGAACAAUGAAUCGAUUAAUGAUGACAUGUACAACCAUAUUUAAAGAGCAAUAGUGUCCAUGUGUCAUGAAAAACUUAUUUAUUUGUAAACGUUUAUAUGGUAUGAUUUUAUGUAUGUUCAUAAAUCCUGCGCUGUAUAUGUUAAAAUAUUGGUGCAUGAAUUUAUUUUCAAAGUAUAAAACACAUCACUUAAACAUUUUAUGUGUCAAAUAAAUAAAAUUUGAUUAUGUAAACACA